This 253-nucleotide ribosomal RNA is filed under the name uncultured bacterium. RNAcentral's name for it is "partial 16S ribosomal RNA". It matches the Rfam family "Bacterial small subunit ribosomal RNA", at positions 524 to 776 of the family's 1533-position model. The record is from RNAcentral.
UACGGGGGGAGCAAGCGUUGUCCGGAAUCAUUGGGCGUAAAGAGCGCGUAGGCGGUCCGGUAAGUCGGUUGUGAAAACUGGGGGCUCAACCCUCAGAGGCCGACCGAUACUGCCGGGCUAGAGUCCGGAAGAGGCGAGUGGAAUUCCUGGUGUAGCGGUGAAAUGCGCAGAUAUCAGGAGGAACACCAAUGGCGAAGGCAGCUCGCUGGGACGGUACUGACGCUGAGGAGCGAAAGCGUGGGGAGCAAACAGG